GUCCACGCCGUAAACGGUGAGUGCUAGACGUCGCGGGUAUUGACCCCCGCGGUGUCGAAGCUAACGCGUUAAGCACUCCGCCUGGGGAGUACGGCCGCAAGGCUAAAACUCAAAGGAAUUGACGGGGGCCCGCACAAGCGGUGGAGCAUGUGGUUCAAUUCGAAGCAACGCGCAGAACCUUACCUGGGCUUGACAUCAUGGAGAACCCUCCGGAAACGGAGGGGUGCCCUUCGGGGAGCUCCUUGACAGGUGCUGCAUGGCUGUCGU
RNAcentral lists this ribosomal RNA (267 nucleotides) under uncultured bacterium. RNAcentral describes it as "partial 16S ribosomal RNA". It matches the Rfam family "Bacterial small subunit ribosomal RNA", at positions 793 to 1055 of the family's 1533-position model. The record is from RNAcentral.